UGGGGAAUAUUGCACAAUGGAGGGAACUCUGAUGCAGCGACGCCGCGUGAACGAAGAAGGCUUUCGAGUCGUAAAGCUCUUUUCUAUGGGAAGAUAAUGACGGUACCAUAAGAAAAAGCCCCGGCUAACUACGUGCCAGCAGCCGCGGUAAUACGUAGGGGGCUAGCGUUGUCCGGAAUCACUGGGCGUAAAGGGUUCGCAGGCGGAAAUGCAAGUCAGGUGUAAAAGGCAGUAGCUUAACUACUGUAAGCAUUUGAAACUGCAUAUCUUGAGAAGGGUAGAGGUAAGUGGAAAUUUUAGUGUAGCGGUGAAAUGCGUAGAUAUUAAAAAGAAUACCGGUGGCGAAGGCGACUUACUGGGCUCAUUCUGACGCUGAGGAGCGAAAGCGUGGGUAGCAAACAGG
Molecule: ribosomal RNA, 403 nt
Filed under: Fusobacteriota bacterium
Lineage: Bacteria; Fusobacteriati; Fusobacteriota
Description: Fusobacteria bacterium partial 16S ribosomal RNA
Rfam family: Bacterial small subunit ribosomal RNA
Source: RNAcentral